CUGCUGGUCGGGUUAUGUUAUUGUCUCCCAAGGUCCACACGGGGAUGCCCAUCCUCGUAUUCAUCUUUCUGAGGAAUUGAGUGACCAAUCCUGGCCUGACACGCUGGAAUCGAGAGAUGCAGAAGGGGACAGUGAUGACGUUAGCUAAUAUCUCACUCCUGAGGAUUGCUGAGGCUAAAAUGGAACAACUCCUGCACGCAUCUGGCUGCGGACCAGGAACAUACUGUGGAGCUCCUGGAGACCACUAAAGUCAAUGUAAAUAAUACAGCGUCCACCCUGACACUGCAUCAACCCAGCUAUAUGGAACAAAACACUGCCUCUCAUGGAUGUAGAGUUAUUAAGUCAGCAUAGUGGUGCCUCUAGCCAGACAGGAACCCCCCU
Pelodiscus sinensis (Chinese soft-shelled turtle) is the source of this 381-nucleotide non-coding RNA. The record is from RefSeq and is a predicted model, not a curated record. Lineage: Eukaryota; Metazoa; Chordata; Testudines; Trionychidae.